RNAcentral lists this long non-coding RNA (1100 nucleotides) under Arachis ipaensis. RNAcentral's name for it is "long non-coding RNA (AIPA_LNC000250)". Lineage: Eukaryota; Viridiplantae; Streptophyta; Magnoliopsida; Fabales; Fabaceae. The record is from RNAcentral.
GUUUUUUCAAUCAAAUAAAAAAAAAUUCUACCAUACUAUUAUGCAAUGUCAUAAGAUUGAAAUCAACAAGCCAAAAUACACAAUAGCUAACAAAGUCUUGAUCUAAUAAAAUAUAACGACAAUAAAUUCAAAUACGACAAUUAAAGAAGUUUAAUAUCUCAACACAACUGAAGUUUAAUUCCCUCGGCCUCUACUAGCAAGCUUCCUUGUGUUUCGUUGAGGAGCUGGCACAGGAGGCAAAGCAGUCGGAGAUCUGAUGCUUGUUGAUUCAUUCGGAAUAGGAAUUGGAAGCAAUCCAGUGUCGCCCAUAUUCUCACUUGAACUAACCUCAAACUACAUAAACAAGCAAUAACCAUUAACCAGCAAUAAACAAGCAAUAAACAAAACAGAACAAAACUUGAUAAUGCAAACAAGCAAUGAACAAGCAAUAAACAAAUUAAACCAGCAAGGCAGCAAACAAAUUGAACUUGAUAAUGUGAACCAGAAUUAAACCAAACAGAAUUGGCACUUGAUAAUGUGAACAAGCAAUGAACAAAUUAAACCAGCAAGACAGCAAUAAACACUAAACAGAAUUUGCAAAUUGAACUUGGCAAUGAACAAAUUGAACUUGCCAAAUUAAACACUAAACAGAACAAAACUUGAUAAUCUCAAAAUUAAACCAGCAAUACCAAGCAGCAAGCAGCAAUACCAAGCAAGCAAUACCAAGCAGCAAGCAGCAAUACCAAGCACCAAGCAGCAUUGCAGCAAUACCAAGCAGCAAUACUUAUAAACUAUUUUUCAGGUUAAAAUUAAAACUGAACAUUGAACAAUAACCAUUAACCAGCAAGCACCAAGCAGCAAUACCAACAACAAGGCAAGAAUGAAUCAGUAAAGUUUACCUGAAUAGAUGGCUCGGGCUCCAUAUGCACUUGAAUCGGUGGCUGGGUGGGAGGCUUUCUGGGCGGAGGCCGCGAGGUCGGAGGUGGUGAGGGGACCCUACAGAACCCAAAAACGCUGCUGGGUGGAGGCUUUCUGGGUGGAGGCGGUGACGUCGGAGGUGGUGACUGGUGAGGUCGGAGGUCCUGUGGGUGGGUGAGCCGGGGAGGGGAGGGACUCGCGCA